CCCUUAGACGUUCUGGGCCGCACGCGCGCUACACUGACGAAGGCAACGAGCUUUCCUUUACCGAAAGGUACGGGUAAUCUUUUGAAACUUCGUCGUGCUGGGGAUAGAUCAUUGCAAUUUUUGAUCUUGAACGAGGAAUUCCUAGUAAGCGCGAGUCAUCAGCUCGCGUUGAUUACGUCCCUGCCCUUUGUACACACCGCCCGUCGCUACUACCGAUUGAAUGGUUUAGUGAGGACUCCUGAUUGGCGCCGCCGCCCCGGCAACGGAGCAGCGGACUGCCGAAAAGUUGUUCAAACUUGAUCAUUUAGAGGAAGUAAAAGUCGUAACA
Molecule: ribosomal RNA, 328 nt
Filed under: uncultured eukaryote
Lineage: Eukaryota
Description: partial 18S ribosomal RNA
Rfam family: Eukaryotic small subunit ribosomal RNA
Source: RNAcentral